Molecule: ribosomal RNA, 502 nt
Filed under: uncultured bacterium
Lineage: Bacteria
Description: partial 16S ribosomal RNA
Rfam family: Bacterial small subunit ribosomal RNA
Source: RNAcentral
AUUGAACGCUGGCGGCAGGCUUAACACAUGCAAGUCGAGCGGAGAUGAGGUGCUUGCACCUUAUCUUAGCGGCGGACGGGUGAGUAAUGCUUAGGAAUCUGCCUAUUAGUGGGGGACAACAUUCCGAAAGGAAUGCUAAUACCGCAUACGCCCCAUGGGGGAAAGCAGGGGAUCUUCGGACCUUGCGCUAAUAGAUGAGCCUAAGUCGGAUUAGCUAGUUGGUGGGGUAAAGGCCUACCAAGGCGACGAUCUGUAGCGGGUCUGAGAGGAUGAUCCGCCACACUGGGACUGAGACACGGCCCAGACUCCUACGGGAGGCAGCAGUAGGGGAAUAUUGGACAAUGGGCGGAAGCCUGAUCCAGCCAUGCCGCGUGUGUGAAGAAGGCCUUUUGGUUGUAAAGCACUUUAAGCGAGGAGGAGGCUACCUGGAUUAAUACUCUAGGAUAGUGGACGUUACUCGCAGAAUAAGCACCGGCCAACUCUGUGCCAGCCGCCGCAGUAA